This 253-nucleotide ribosomal RNA is filed under the name uncultured bacterium. RNAcentral describes it as "partial 16S ribosomal RNA". It matches the Rfam family "Bacterial small subunit ribosomal RNA", at positions 524 to 776 of the family's 1533-position model. The record is from RNAcentral.
UACGUAGGGCGCAAGCGUUGUCCGGAAUUAUUGGGCGUAAAGAGCUCGUAGGCGGUCUGUUACGUCCGCUGUGAAAACCCAGGGCUUAACCCUGGGCUUGCAGUGGAUACGGGUAGACUAGAGGCAGGUAGGGGAGAAUGGAAUUCCCGGUGUAGCGGUGAAAUGCGUAGAUAUCGAGAGGAACACCUGCGGCGAAGGCGGGUUGCUGGGCUGACACUGACGCUGAUGCGCGAAAGCCAGGGGAGCGAACGGG